RNAcentral lists this ribosomal RNA (90 nucleotides) under Vibrio alginolyticus. RNAcentral's name for it is "partial 16S ribosomal RNA". It matches the Rfam family "Bacterial small subunit ribosomal RNA", at positions 1453 to 1533 of the family's 1533-position model. The record is from RNAcentral. RNAcentral also lists the same sequence under 1 other name. Lineage: Bacteria; Pseudomonadati; Pseudomonadota; Gammaproteobacteria; Vibrionales; Vibrionaceae.
CUUACCACUUUGUGGUUCAUGACUGGGGUGAAGUCGUAACAAGGUAGCGCUAGGGGAACCUGGCGCUGGAUCACCUCCUUAAACGAUGAU